CUACCGAGCUCCCAGUGGGAGGGACAACCAGCUGCCUGCUGUCUAAGCCAUUUGAGCUCCUUCUGGGAGGAGCAGUGGCCAGCACUGGGACUCACAACUGCCUAACACGCUAAGCUCCAUGGGUGGGGGAAGGACAGCAUCCAUCUCCAUAGCUCCAGGCCAUGCUUUUCCCCUGCUGGAGCCAGGGAGGCUGGACAGCUUGGUCCCAAGACGUAUCCCCCAUAGCCCAACACACCAGCUGUGGCAGACUGUGGCCAGAGUGCCUAUUCAGGCCUGACCUUGACUCAUCCUUCCUCAUUGGGCAGGGUGUCUCUGCAGGAACUCCCAUAACUCCAUCCGGAGACUCAGGGACAGAACCCAGAUCUCCCUGGGUCUGAGCCCCUCACGGAAGGGGUGGCUGCAGUCUCUGCAGACUAAGAGACUUAGCCUUUUCUCCUGCAGCCCAGCAGAAUUAAUCUUUCCUCAGACUUAGUUCUGAGGAGUCUGGUCAGACCAGAUGAGUGGGUUUCCCCCCAGUGAAGCACACCCAUUCCACCAAGGGACAAAGUGCUUCGUUAAAUGGGUCCUGUUCCCUAUGCCACCCAAUUGGAUGAGACCCUCCAACAGGGGUUGUGAGACACCCUGUACAGGAGCAAUCGUACUGGCAUCAGGUUGGUGCCCCUUGAGGUCAGAGAUCCCAGAGGAAGAAGCAGGCACCCAUCUGGGCUGUUCUCCAGCCUCCUUGAGUGACAUCGCCAGGUGCAGGAGUGAACCAGAUGAAUAGGGCCUGAAGUGAACCCCCAGCAAACCACAGAAACCCUACAGAAGAGGGACCUCACCAUUGAAAGAAAAACAGAAAGCAAUAACAACAACAUCAACAACAACAAAAAAAGGCACCACAAAAACCCUAUCCAAGGGUCAGCAGCCUCAAAGAUCGAACCUAGACAAAUUCACAGAGAUGAGAAAGCAUCAACAAAAAAAUGCCAAAAAUCCAAAAGGCCAGAGUCCCUUUUCUUCUCCAAAUGAUUGUAACGUUUCUCCAGCAAGGGCACAGAACUGGACGGGGGAUGAGAUGAAAGAAUUGACAGAAGUAGGCUGCAGAAGAUGGGUAAGAAAAAAAGUGUGCUGAGCUAAAGGAGCAUGUUCUAACCCAAUGCAAAGAAGCUAAGAACCUUGAUGAAAGGUUAGAGGAGCUGCUAACUAGAAUAACCAGUUUAGAAAGAAACAUAAAUGAUCUGAUGGAGCUAAGGACACAGCAUGAGAACUCUGUAAAGCAUACACAAGUAUCAAUAGCUGAAUCGACCAAGCAGAAGAAAGGAUAUCAGGGUUUGAAGACCACCUUGCUGAAAUAAGGCAUGCAGACAAAACUAGAGAAAAAAGAAUUAAAAGGAAUGAACAAAGCCUCAAAGAAAUAAGAGACUCCAUAAAAAGACCAAACCUAUGAUAGAUUGGAGUACCUGAAGAAGGUGAGGAGAAUGGAAACAAGCUGGAAAACACAGUUCAGGGUAUUAUCCAGGAGACCUUCCCCAACCUAGCAAGACAGGCCAACAUGCGAAUUCAGGAAAUACAGAGAACACCACUAAGAUAUUCUAUGAGAAGAUAAACCUCAAGACACAUAAUUAUCAGAUCCUCCAAGGUUGAAAUGAAGGAAAAAAUGUUAAAGGUGACCAAAGAGAAAAGCCAGGUCACCUACAAAGGGAAGCCCAUCAGACUAACAGCAGACCUCUCAGCAGAAACUUUACAAGCCAGAAGAUACUUGGGGCCAACAGUCAACAUUCCUAAAGAAAAGAACUGGGCCGGCAAGGCGGCUCAUGUCUGUAAUUCCAGCACUUUGGGAGACCAAGGAGGGCAGAUCACCUGAGGUUUGGAGUUUGAGACCAGCCUGGCCAACAUGGUGAAACCCCAUCUCUACUAAAAAUACAAUUAGCUAGAUGUGGUGGCAGGUACCUAUAAUCCCAGCUCCUCAAGAGGCUGAGACAGAAAAAUCACUUGAACCCAGGAGGCGGAGGUUGCAGUAAGCCAAGAUCACGCCAUUGCACUCCACCCUGGGUGAUAAGAGUGAAACUUCAUCUCAAAAAAAAAAAA
This is a long non-coding RNA of Macaca fascicularis (crab-eating macaque), 2064 nucleotides long. The record is from Ensembl. NCBI's taxonomy places the organism in Eukaryota, Metazoa, Chordata, Mammalia, Primates, Cercopithecidae.